Molecule: ribosomal RNA, 1507 nt
Filed under: Candidatus Magasanikiibacteriota bacterium
Lineage: Bacteria; Candidatus Magasanikiibacteriota
Description: bacterial SSU rRNA
Rfam family: Bacterial small subunit ribosomal RNA
Source: RNAcentral
AGAGUUUGAUCCUGGCUCAGGAUGAACGCUGGCGGCGUGUUUAAGGCAUGCAAGUCGAGCGACGUGCUCUGUAGAACCCAGUACAAGUUUAAAACUUGUGUUGAGCUCUAUAGAGUUACGAGCGGCAAACGGGUGAGUAACACAUUAGUAAUCUACCUUCAAGUUGGGGAUAGCCAGGCGAAAGCUUGAUUAAUACCCAAUGGUAAUGCGGGGGCAUAUGUCAUUCGCAUUUAAAGAUUUAUCGCUUGAAGAGGAGCUUAUGUUCUAUCAGCUAGUUGGUAGGGUAAUGGCCUACCAAGGCAAUGACGGAUAGCAGGCGUGAGAGCGUGACCUGCCUCACUGGGACUGAGACACUGCCCAGACACCUACGGGUGGCUGCAGUCAAGAAUCUUCCUCAAUGGGCGAAAGCCUGAAGGAGCGACGCCGCGUGCAGGAUGAAGGUUUUCGGAUCGUAAACUGCUUUUCUCAGGGACGAAUUUGUGACUGUACCUGAGGAAUAAGAGGUUGCUAACUCUGUGCCAGCAGCAGCGGUAAUACAGAGACCUCAAGCGUUAUCCGGAUUUACUGGGUGUAAAGGGUCCGCAGGCGGAACAGCGGGUCAGGGGUAAAAUCUUCGAGCUCAACUCGAAACCCGCUCCUGAAACUACUGUUCUAGAGUUCGGAAGAGGCAAUCGGAAUUGCUGGUGUAGUCGUAAUAAGCGUUGAUAUCAGCAAGAACACCAAAUGCGAAGGCAGAUUGCUAGUACGUAACUGACGCUCAGGGACGAAAGCGUGGGGAGCAAACAGGAUUAGAUACCCUGGUAGUCCACGCCCUCAACGAUGCACACUAGGUAUUGGCAGUAUCGACCCUGUCAGUGCCGUUGAAAAAAGCUAACGCGUUAAGUGUGCCACCUGGGGAGUACGGCCGCAAGGCUAAAACUCAAAGGAAUAGACGGGGACCCGCACAAGCGGUGGAUUAUGUGGUUUAAUUCGACGAUAAGCGAGGAACCUUACCUGGGCUCAACUACUAGCUGCAUUGGGGCAGAAACGUCCCAAGCCUUCGAGGGUGCUAGAUAGGUGCUGCAUGGUUGCCGUCAGCUCGUGCCGUGAGGUGUACCGUUAAGUCGGGAAACGAGCGCAACCCACGUCGUAUGUUAAAUUGUACAUACGAGACUGCCUGCGCAAGCAGGAGGAAGGGGUGGAUGACGUCAAAUCAGCAUGGCUCUUACGUCCAGGGCUACACACAUAAUACAAUGGCCGGUACAGAGGGUUGCUAAGUCGCGAGAUGGAGCUAAUCCCAUCAAAACCGGCCCCAGUUCAGAUUGUAGGCUGCAACUCGCCUACAUGAAGUUGGAAUCGCUAGUAAACGCAUAUCAGCCACGGUGCGUUGAAUACGUUCUCGGGUCUUGUACUCACCGCCCGUCACACCAUGGAAAUUGGCAAUGCCCAAAGCCUCGUAAGGGGUUAAGGCAGGGUCAGUAACUGGGGUGAAGUCGUAACAAGGCAUCCCUAGCGGAAGCUGGGGAUG